Molecule: ribosomal RNA, 395 nt
Filed under: uncultured bacterium
Lineage: Bacteria
Description: partial 16S ribosomal RNA
Rfam family: Bacterial small subunit ribosomal RNA
Source: RNAcentral
UGAGGAAUAUUGGUCAAUGGGCGCAAGCCUGAACCAGCCAUCCCGCGUGCAGGAUGACGGCCCUACGGGUUGUAAACUGCUUUUAUACAGGAAGAAAAAAUUCCCGAUGUAUCGGGACUUGCCGGUACUGUGUGAAUAAGCAUCGGCUAACUCCGUGCCAGCAGCCGCGGUAAUACGGAGGAUGCAAGCGUUAUCCGGAUUCAUUGGGUUUAAAGGGUGCGUAGGCGGCUUUUUAAGUCAGUGGUGAAAUCCUGCCGCUUAACGGUAGAAUUGCCAUUGAUACUGAGGAGCUUGAGUUCAGUUGAGGUAAGCGGAAUGUGUAGUGUAGCGGUGAAAUGCUUAGAUAUUACACGAACACCUGAUUGCGAAUGGCAGCUUACUAAACUGACACUGAC